This 70-nucleotide transfer RNA is filed under the name Garra orientalis. RNAcentral's name for it is "tRNA-Pro". It matches the Rfam family "tRNA". Rfam says of the family: Transfer RNA (tRNA) molecules are approximately 80 nucleotides in length. Their secondary structure includes four short double-helical elements and three loops (D, anti-codon, and T loops). The record is from RNAcentral. Lineage: Eukaryota; Metazoa; Chordata; Actinopteri; Cypriniformes; Cyprinidae.
CAGAAGAUAGUUUUAAUAAGAACGCUGGCUUUGGGCGUCGGUGGUGAGAGUUUAAAUCUCUCUUUUCUGG